UGUGCCUACGGGGCGCAGCAGUAGGGAAUUUUCGUCAAUGGGCGCAAGCCUGAACGAGCAAUGCCGCGUGAACGAGGAAGGUCUUCGGAUCGUAAAGUUCUGUUGAAGGGGAAAAAGAGCGGAGAGAGGAAAUGGUCUCCGAUUGAUAUUACCCUUCGAGGAAGUCACGGCUAACUACGUGCCAGCAGCCGCGGUAAUACGUAGGUGUCGAGCGUUAUCCGGAAUGAUUGGGCGUACCGGGUGCGUAGGCGGCCUGCUAAGUCUGGAGUGAUA
This 273-nucleotide ribosomal RNA is filed under the name uncultured bacterium. RNAcentral describes it as "partial 16S ribosomal RNA". It matches the Rfam family "Bacterial small subunit ribosomal RNA", at positions 333 to 599 of the family's 1533-position model. The record is from RNAcentral.